AGAGUUUGAUCCUGGCUCAGGACGAACGCUGGCGGCGUGCUUAACACAUGCAAGUCGAGCGAGGCCCUCCUUCGGGGGGUGCCCUAGCGGCGAACGGGUGAGUAACACGUGGGCAACCUGCCCUCAGCUCUGGGAUAACUCCAAGAAAUUGGUGCUAAUACCGGAUGUGACCGCUGACCGCAUGGUCUGGUGGUGGAAAGAUUCAUCGGCUGAGGAUGGGCCCGCGGCCUAUCAGCUUGUUGGUGGGGUAAUGGCCCACCAAGGCGACGACGGGUAGCCGGCCUGAGAGGGUGACCGGCCACACUGGGACUGAGACACGGCCCAGACUCCUACGGGAGGCAGCAGUGGGGAAUAUUGCGCAAUGGGCGAAAGCCUGACGCAGCGACGCCGCGUGAGGGAUGACGGCCUUCGGGUUGUAAACCUCUUUCAGUAGGGACGAAGCGCAAGUGACGGUACCUACAGAAGAAGCACCGGCCAACUACGUGCCAGCAGCCGCGGUAAUACGUAGGGUGCAAGCGUUGUCCGGAAUUAUUGGGCGUAAAGAGCUCGUAGGCGGUCUGUCGCGUCGGCUGUGAAAACCCGAGGCUCAACCUCGGGCCUGCAGUCGAUACGGGCAAACUAGAGUACUGCAGGGGAGACUGGAAUUCCUGGUGUAGCGGUGAAAUGCGCAGAUAUCAGGAGGAACACCGGUGGCGAAGGCGGGUCUCUGGGCAGUAACUGACGCUGAGGAGCGAAAGCGUGGGGAGCGAACAGGAUUAGAUACCCCAGUAGUCC
Molecule: ribosomal RNA, 774 nt
Filed under: uncultured bacterium
Lineage: Bacteria
Description: bacterial SSU rRNA
Rfam family: Bacterial small subunit ribosomal RNA
Source: RNAcentral